GGCUCAGAUUGAACGCUGGCGGCAUGCCUUACACAUGCAAGUCGAACGGCAGCACGGGAGCAAUCCUGGUGGCGAGUGGCGAACGGGUGAGUAAUAUAUCGGAACGUGCCCAGUCGUGGGGGAUAACGCAGCGAAAGCUGUGCUAAUACCGCAUACGAUCUCUGGAUGAAAGCGGGGGACUCGUAAGAGCCUCGCGCGAUUGGAGCGGCCGAUAUCAGAUUAGCUAGUUGGUGGGGUAAAGGCCCACCAAGGCGACGAUCUGUAGCUGGUCUGAGAGGACGACCAGCCACACUGGAACUGAGACACGGUCCAGACUCCUACGGGAGGCAGCAGUGGGGAAUUUUGGACAAUGGGCGCAAGCCUGAUCCAGCAAUGCCGCGUGCAGGAUGAAGGCCUUCGGGUUGUAAACUGCUUUUGUACGGAACGAAAAGGUUUGCCUUAAUACGGUGGGCCCAUGACGGUACCGUAAGAAUAAGCACCGGCUAACUACGUGCCAGCAGCCGCGGUAAUACGUAGGGUGCGAGCGUUAAUCGGAAUUACUGGGCGUAAAGCGUGCGCAGGCGGUUAUAUAAGACAGAUGUGAAAUCCCCGGGCUCAACCUGGGACCUGCAUUUGUGACUGUAUAGCUAGAGUACGGUAGAGGGGGAUGGAAUUCCGCGUGUAGCAGUGAAAUGCGUAG
Molecule: ribosomal RNA, 679 nt
Filed under: uncultured bacterium
Lineage: Bacteria
Description: bacterial SSU rRNA
Rfam family: Bacterial small subunit ribosomal RNA
Source: RNAcentral